Molecule: ribosomal RNA, 655 nt
Filed under: uncultured archaeon
Lineage: Archaea
Description: bacterial SSU rRNA
Rfam family: Archaeal small subunit ribosomal RNA
Source: RNAcentral
GAGGACCACCAGUGGCGAAGGCGAUCGGCUAGUACGCGCUCGACGGUGAGGGACGAAAGCUGGGGGAGCGAACCGGAUUAGAUACCCGGGUAGUCCCAGCUGUAAACGAUGCGGACUAGGUGUUUGGAUAGGCUUCGAGCCUAUCCAGUGCUGCAGUGAAGACAGUAAGGCCGCCGCCUGGGGAGUACGGCUGCAAGGCUGAAACUUAAAGGAAUUGGCGGGGGAGCACCACAAGGGGUGAAGCCUGCGGUUUAAUUGGAGUCAACGCCGGGAACCUUACCGGGGGCGACAGCAGAAUGAAGGCCAAGCUGACGACUUUGCUAGACAAGCUGAGAGGAGGUGCAUGGCCGUCGCCAGUUCGUGCCGUGAGGUGUCCGGUUAAGUCCGGCAACGAACGAGACCCCUACCUUCAGUUGCUACCGGGAAGCUUUGUCUUUUCGGGCACACUGGAGGGACUGCCGCCGCUGAGCGGAGGAAGGAAGGGGCCACGGCAGGUCAGUAUGCCCCGAAUCCCCCGGGUACACGCGGGCUGCAAUGGCGGGCACAAUGGGUUCCGACCCCGAAAGGGGAAGGCAAUCUCUAAAACCCGCCUCAGUUGGGAUNCGAGGGCUGCAACUCGCCCUCGUGAACAUAGGAAUCCUAGUAAUCGCGCGUC